CUGUUGGGGCGGAGCUGUCCAUGGACAGAGCGGUCGGGGGCCGGGGCAGCGCGGAGCGGGAGCUGCAGUUUGUUGCGUUGCCGCCCACGGCUCGGCCUCGUGCCCCACAGGGUGGCGUUGCCUGGAGGAUCGGUGACGGCUCGGAGCGGCCGGGGAGGGGGUGGAGCUGGGGGUUCCAACUGUCCCUCCCCCGAGGGGUCAGAGGCGGAGAGAGCUGCCCCCCCCUUGGGUACAGCCUCCCCCCACGCGCCGCUUCGCAGCACAGCGAGGGGAUCUGUCACCCUCGGCCCCCAAUACGGUGCGGGCAGAAGAGGGUAGCGCUUUGGUUUCCUUCCCUAUCGGGCAAGAGAUCUGAUGGUGUCCACUUAAAUCCUACAUUGCGCUAGGGCACAACCAUGGCUUCAGGUAGUGUUGCAAAACCAAAGGCUUGCCCAGAAGUCGUUGCACAAAGGUGAACCUAUAUUGCCGGCCAGCCCAUGGCGGUGGGAGUGAGAGACACCAUGCGCACGCCUGAUUCACUAUCGCCCUGACAACAUCCCCAGGAGGCUACUACACUCUUCUUUCCCUUGUUUGGAGGCCUCCAUGACUUAGUGUUUGGGGCUAAGGAUACACCUUCUGACUGUACGGGACUUUAGAAACUGCAGGGGGAGUUGUGUGUACUACGUACCUGAAAAGGGUCCUGGGUAGUACCAAGCACUUGGAGCCAAGGUUAUACAGUAUUAGAUAGGUGCAUCAACCAACUGCUUAAGUUCCUUCUGUUGAACGUCAGAGUCCAACAUUUAGACCAUAACCCUGAGGAAGAGGAGAAGGUGGGCAGAUCCUGUGAUUAUGCAGGGACAAAACUCUUUCUGAGGACUCCAGUAACUUGGUGACUGAACAUGUUAAAAUGGCCCACAAGAUAAUAGUGCACAGAGACUUCUGAGAGGAAUUCACCCACAAGAGAAGACUCAGCCUUUAAGCAGAUAUUAACCUUUCGUAACUCUUACCUAUAUCAGAUGACGUAGGCCAAGAAAUAAAGUUCAGUGUCCUGCCACAACAUACACGUGUGUGUGUUACUCUUAUUACAAGGGCAGAAGGCUUUCUUUCCAGGAACAAGUUUGGCAGUGCUGCCAAAGCAGAAGAGCUCUCCAUCUGCAUCCCAAAAGACUAGCAUACGUUGCCACAUGUACAAAACAAACGGGGCUCCUGGAUUCAUGUGGCUAUGUGGGAAUCUCAUCUGUUUUUUAUAAGGUUGGUUAAAACCCACCAUGAACAAUCCCAGAUCUCUGCACAAGCUAACACUGUGAUGGGAAAAUGGAGCAUUCUAAUCACCUAGCUUCCUUCAGUGAACUCUAUGGAAAAAAACUCAACAUGUGCUACCUCCUACAAAGGUGUGUGUAAUUCAGAACAAGAGGAAACAAUAUUAUCUGGAGUUGAGCUGUGGGUUUUCUUCUCUUUGUGCUGUUUAGCUGAAGCAAAGGCUUAUAGUUUAUUCUUUGUUGUCUCUAUAAAAAGCCUUUUCAAUUAAU
This is a long non-coding RNA of Mauremys mutica (yellowpond turtle), 1508 nucleotides long. RefSeq lists it as uncharacterized. The record is from RefSeq and is a predicted model, not a curated record. The transcript is spliced from 7 exons. NCBI's taxonomy places the organism in Eukaryota, Metazoa, Chordata, Testudines, Geoemydidae.